UACGGAGGGUGCAAGCGUUAAUCGGAAUUACUGGGCGUAAAGGGUGUGUAGACGGUUUGAUAAGUUAAGUGUGAAAGACCUGGGCUUAACCUGGGGGUGUCACUUAAGACUGUUAGACUAGAGUAUGGGAGAGGGUAGUGGAAUUUCCGGUGUAGCGGUGAAAUGCGUAGAGAUCGGAAGGAACACCAGUGGCGAAGGCGGCUACCUGGCCCAAUACUGACGUUGAGGCACGAAAGCGUGGGGAGCAAAC
Molecule: ribosomal RNA, 250 nt
Filed under: uncultured bacterium
Lineage: Bacteria
Description: partial 16S ribosomal RNA
Rfam family: Bacterial small subunit ribosomal RNA
Source: RNAcentral